CGGGGCUUAAAGUCUUGUAAUUGGAAUGAUGGGAAUUUAAACCUCUUCCAGAGUAUCAAUUGGAGGGCAAGUCUGGUGCCAGCAGCCGCGGUAAUUCCAGCUCCAAUAGCGUAUAUUAAAAUUGUUGCAGUUAAAAAGCUCGUAGUUGAAUUUCUGCUGCAUUGCUUGUGUCCCUCUGGGGUCUGUGCAUGUGGCUUUUUUCGGACGGAGUUUCUUUGUCUGAAUGUUUACUUUGAGAAAAUUAGAGUGCUCAAAGCAGGCUUUCGCCUUGAAUAGUUUAGCAUGGAAUAAUAAAGUAGGACUUUGGUUCUAUUUUGUUGGUUUUAGGUACCAAAGUAGUGGUUAAUAGGAACAGUUGGGGGCAUUCGUAUUUAACUGUCAGAGGUGAAAUUCUUAGAUUUGUUAAAGACGAACUACUGCGAAAGCAUUUGCCAAGGAUGUUUUCAUUAAUCAAGAAC
RNAcentral lists this ribosomal RNA (458 nucleotides) under Theileria annulata. Its description in RNAcentral is "SSU rRNA". It matches the Rfam family "Eukaryotic small subunit ribosomal RNA", at positions 486 to 984 of the family's 1831-position model. Lineage: Eukaryota; Apicomplexa; Aconoidasida; Piroplasmida; Theileriidae. The record is from RNAcentral.